GGCUCGUUGGUCUAGGGGUAUGAUUCUCGCUUAGGGUGCGAGAGGUCCCGGGUUCAAAUCCCCGGCCCGAGCCC
This 74-nucleotide transfer RNA is filed under the name Alosa alosa (allis shad). RNAcentral describes it as "tRNA-Pro". Lineage: Eukaryota; Metazoa; Chordata; Actinopteri; Clupeiformes; Clupeidae. The record is from RNAcentral.